RNAcentral lists this transfer RNA (96 nucleotides) under Yersinia pseudotuberculosis. Its description in RNAcentral is "tRNA-Und (NNN) (tRNA-Und-NNN-2-1)". The record is from RNAcentral. Lineage: Bacteria; Pseudomonadati; Pseudomonadota; Gammaproteobacteria; Enterobacterales; Yersiniaceae. RNAcentral also lists the same sequence under 1 other name.
AACUAAUUGAUUUUAAAGUAAGUUACUGUUUUUAUUAUCCUGCUAACCGUACUCAUAAUCGCUUGGUCACUGGUUCAAGUCCAGUAGGGGCCACCA